GGGGCCAGAUUGUGAUAGUCAUGAGCCAGAGUAAGCUUGGUGCUACUUCUUUGUUCUCUUUGUUCUCUUUAUUCUCUUUGUUUUCUUUGUAGUUGAAGAGUAAUAGAUAGUUUUUGAAUACUGUGAAGUAAUACUGUGGAAUAAAUCAGAGAUUGAUUUAUGAGAUAUUGAAUAUGUAAUUGGAGUAUUGUGUGAUUGAAUUAUUAUGAAAAAAUAUUAAAUUUUUUUUGUCACAUUGUGAGGAAGAUUGAUUGUCAAUGAAAGGUUAUAAUUGUUGUUAAUUAAGAGUUGUGUGUGUUUUGACAGAAGAAGUCUAUGAUUACAGAAAUUGUG
Molecule: long non-coding RNA, 333 nt
Filed under: Physcomitrium patens
Lineage: Eukaryota; Viridiplantae; Streptophyta; Bryopsida; Funariales; Funariaceae
Description: long non-coding RNA (PPAT_LNC002895)
Source: RNAcentral